CUCAGGGAACCCAAUCUGCUGACCAGACUCCCUCCGCCCCACCUCCCCUCCAAACCAGUUACCCAAAUCUGACAGAGGAGUCCUAAGGCUUCUGCGUGAUGCUGGACCCAUCACGGGGUUGAGAGCAGUGACUCGGCAGAAAUGAAAGCUCGAGCCUGCUAGCAACCGAAUGAGGACACACGGUCCAGGAACAAGCUGUGGAAAUAGGAUUGUGCCCGCCUCCAUCACUCCAGUGCCUCACUUGUAGAUUUGUACUUCUCCUCCCUGCAGCCUGAGAUUUUGUCAGAGAAGAGAAGAGGAGAUUGGGACACAGACACGCACAGAGGAAGGAUCACAUGAAGACACAGCAAGAAGAUGGCCGUCUACAAGCCAAG
Molecule: long non-coding RNA, 374 nt
Organism: Globicephala melas (long-finned pilot whale)
Lineage: Eukaryota; Metazoa; Chordata; Mammalia; Artiodactyla; Delphinidae
Source: RefSeq, a predicted model, not a curated record